GGGGAUAUGGCGACGGGUGAGUACACGUGGGCAAUCUGCCCUUCACUCUGGGACAAGCCCUGGAAACGGGGUCUAAUACCGGAUAACACUCUGUCCCGCAUGGGACGGGGUUAAAAGCUCCGGCGGUGAAGGAUGAGCCCGCGGCCUAUCAGCUUGUUGGUGGGGUAAUGGCCUACCAAGGCGACGACGGGUAGCCGGCCUGAGAGGGCGACCGGCCACACUGGGACUGAGACACGGCCCAGACUCCUACGGGAGGCAGCAGUGGGGAAUAUUGCACAAUGGGCGAAAGCCUGAUGCAGCGACGCCGCGUGAGGGAUGACGGCCUUCGGGUUGUAAACCUCUUUCAGCAGGGAAGAAGCGAAAGUGACGGUACCUGCAGAAGAAGCGCCGGCUAACUACGUGCCAGCACGGGG
This 413-nucleotide ribosomal RNA is filed under the name Streptomyces sp. MBT16. RNAcentral describes it as "bacterial SSU rRNA". It matches the Rfam family "Bacterial small subunit ribosomal RNA", at positions 89 to 520 of the family's 1533-position model. Lineage: Bacteria; Bacillati; Actinomycetota; Actinomycetes; Kitasatosporales; Streptomycetaceae. The record is from RNAcentral.